RNAcentral lists this small nucleolar RNA (90 nucleotides) under Chinchilla lanigera (long-tailed chinchilla). Its description in RNAcentral is "Small nucleolar RNA SNORA42/SNORA80 family (ENSCLAG00000018961.1)". Lineage: Eukaryota; Metazoa; Chordata; Mammalia; Rodentia; Chinchillidae. The record is from RNAcentral.
GCAAUGAGUAGUAUGCAAGAGCAAAAUGAGACCUUGAACCAUUUCCCAGCCUCGCUGCGGGCUGUGAGCACUGAAGGAGGUGGCACAGAU